CCUACGGGAGGCAGCAGUGAGGAAUAUUGGUCAAUGGACGAAAGUCUGAACCAGCCAAGUAGCGUGAAGGAUGACGGCCCUAUGGGUUGUAAACUUCUUUUAUAUGGGAAUAAAGUGUUCCACGUGUGGGAUUUUGUAUGUACCAUAUGAAUAAGGAUCGGCUAACUCCGUGCCAGCAGCCGCGGUAAUAUGGAGGAUCCGAGCGUUAUCCGGAUUUAUUGGGUUUAAAGGGAGCGUAGGUGGAUUGUUAAGUCAGUUGUGAAAGUUUGCGGCUCAACCGUAAAAUUGCAGUUGAAACUGGCAGUCUUGAGUACAGGAGAGGUGGGCGGAAUUCGUGGUGUAGCGGUGAAAUGCUUAGAUAUCACGAAGAACUCCGAUUGCGAAGGCAGUUCACUGGACUGCAACUGACACUGAGGCUCGAAAGUGUGGGUAUCAAACAGGAUUAGAUACCCGAGUAGUC
RNAcentral lists this ribosomal RNA (460 nucleotides) under uncultured bacterium. RNAcentral's name for it is "partial 16S ribosomal RNA". It matches the Rfam family "Bacterial small subunit ribosomal RNA", at positions 338 to 795 of the family's 1533-position model. The record is from RNAcentral.